AAGAGACACAGGGAUGCACAUGAGAAACUGGGUUUGGUUAAAGGGAGAAGGCGACCCAGAAACACACCAAAGCACCAGAUAUUUUCCAGGAGAGUUCCAUGAAGAGCUCAGUGUUCUUGGGUUAUGUUAUUGAGUGUGACUGGUGGGGAGGGAGACUUAGAGCUUCUUCAGAUUGUAUAUCCAGGAGGCCUCUCUGAGAAGGUGACUCAUAGGCUCGGACUGAAUCACAAGGAGACACCCUACAAAGACCAGGGAGAAGGAGGAGCCCUUCCCACGAAGAGGCGCAGCAGGAGCAGAGGCCCUGGAUGGGAUCUCUGUGCAUGGACGAGGGGAGGUAGAAACAGCUGCAGGGAUGGUGGGUUCAGGAAGCAACACAUGAGUGCAGAUGUUGACACUGAAGGGCCUAGAGGCAGGAUGUUUCCCAUCAGGUGAAGACCAGGGUGUGCAGCUUUUGGACAGUAUGCAUGCCCUGAGAAGGAGGAGAAUAUUCUGUGCCUGAUCAGACAAGUGAACUAGAAAAGGUUCUGAGCACCUUUGUGGAUGAGCCACUGAGUCAGAAAGAUUGCAGCGCAGUUAUGCUCAAAUGUCUCAUUGGAGAAGGAGUAGGGGAGAUACAUUUCUUAUAUGAUUGUAACAAGCAAGGAAAAAUAACCCAAGUGUCAAGCUAGGAAAAUGAUGCAAUAAAUUAUGAUAGACCUGAAGCAUAAAAUAUUACGUGACUAUUUAAAAUCAUGCUUGUGGAGAAUUUUAAUAACAUAGGAAAAUACUAACACUACUAUCUUAAAUUUUAAAAAAUCUAAAACUAUACAUAAAACUAUACACCGUUAUAUAACUGUGCUAUUAUGUAUAGUUUGAAUAUAUAUAUAAUAUGUGUGUAUGUGUGUGUAUAUAUAUAUACAUAUAUAUAUAUAUACACACACACACAUAUAUUCAAAAAAUGUCCUGGUGUAGAGUGGUCCAAAAUGUUGUUAGUGGAAGUCUUUGAGUGGUAGAAUUAUAGUUAUCUUUAAUUUUUAUGUUUAUCCUUUUUUGCAUCUUUCAAAUUUUUAAUGAUACAUGCAUCACAUCUAAAAUCUAAAAAAUAAAGUAGGUCAACAGUUUUUUGAAUACCAGAAUUCAGACGAAAUUCAUCACACAGUUAUUCAAUUACAGAACAAGGAACUGCAGAAAGAAUAGAGGCAUCAGCUAGAAAAACAUUGGAAGGAACCACGUAACGAAGCAAGUUCCUCCCAAGAAGCAGGAGACUUUAUCAAACUCCUCAUUAGAGGCCUAGAAAAAGUACCUACAAAGAAGCAAGAAAUGUGGCACCCAGAGGGGGAAAAAUAAAUUAUCAUUUUAACAAAAAAAGGCAUUAGACAGUGUCGUUGAGGAAGCGAACCCAGUGUGCGGUCAUAGCCUCCAAAAAA
Molecule: long non-coding RNA, 1406 nt
Organism: Macaca fascicularis (crab-eating macaque)
Lineage: Eukaryota; Metazoa; Chordata; Mammalia; Primates; Cercopithecidae
Source: Ensembl